Molecule: signal recognition particle RNA, 150 nt
Filed under: Arabidopsis thaliana (thale cress)
Lineage: Eukaryota; Viridiplantae; Streptophyta; Magnoliopsida; Brassicales; Brassicaceae
Description: Plant signal recognition particle RNA
Rfam family: Plant signal recognition particle RNA
Source: Rfam by way of RNAcentral
UGGACUGCCCAAUCCAAGCUGUGAGUGAACCGUAUGAACCAAGCGAAGGUUUGGUCCGUACGGUUGCUAAAGGUUGAGGGUAUUGCGUUAGGCUGGCUUCACAGAGCAGCGACUACCUCCCGCUCUCAGCAGUGGAUGGACCACGGUUCG